Molecule: ribosomal RNA, 206 nt
Filed under: uncultured bacterium
Lineage: Bacteria
Description: partial 16S ribosomal RNA
Rfam family: Bacterial small subunit ribosomal RNA
Source: RNAcentral
UGUGUAGGCGGUUCUUUAAGUUUGGUGUGAAAUCUCCCGGCUUAACCGGGAGGGUGCGCCGAAUACUGAGGGACUAGAGUACGGGAGAGGAAAGUGGAAUUCCUGGUGUAGCGGUGAAAUGCGUAGAUAUCAGGAGGAACACCGGUGGUGUAGACGGCUUUCUGGACCGUAACUGACGCUGAGACACGAAAGCGUGGGUAGCAAAC